This is a long non-coding RNA of Daphnia pulicaria, 429 nucleotides long. RefSeq lists it as uncharacterized. The transcript is spliced from 3 exons. Lineage: Eukaryota; Metazoa; Arthropoda; Branchiopoda; Diplostraca; Daphniidae. The record is from RefSeq and is a predicted model, not a curated record.
CUAAGAUUUCCAAAGGAGACUAAAACUACCAAAAGGUCGAGACUAAGAUUUCAAAGAAAAACGGAACCAUCACUUUUUGGACGUGGUCAUGUGGAAGAUGCACGAAAAUAAAAUUACAAAAAUGUGGUUCAUCGCCAUGUCAACUUUGGUGUCGCAGCUUUCCAUUCUCUCCAUGCUGUUUGGCGGGUUUGAGGCCUAAGCCAGCCAUCGUAACAGCAAAGUUUUUCUUGUGCUGGACUUCCAGUCAUGUGAUUUGAUUGUUAACCUCCUGCCAUCAUCAACAAUCACAGUAUCAUCGCUUAGAUAAACAGCAUCCCAUUGGAGAAGCUACCGAUGCCGUCCGAGUUAAGGAUCUCUUCAAUUCCUCUUUCUUUAAAUGUCCUUGUGUACGCCCGUACGAAUGUGGGUGUAUUCACGAGGACACCCUUU